GUAAUCCAUUGGUCUUAGGAGCC
RNAcentral lists this non-coding RNA (23 nucleotides) under Cricetulus griseus (Chinese hamster). The record is from RNAcentral. Lineage: Eukaryota; Metazoa; Chordata; Mammalia; Rodentia; Cricetidae.